AUUUUAUUAUAUCCAAUAUAAUUUGCUAAUAGUAACAAUACUUUCCCUCUAUUAUUUGUAACCAUCUAAUUAAUUGUUCUAAUUUAUGGAGAGAAACCAAAGAUAGCUAGUUGAGGCCCUUGGCUUAAGAAUCAUGUCUUCCCCAUCUCUUUCCACAGGGCAGAGGUUGACUGGAGAUUGGAGCAUGUGGCCUGAAAAAGAUUCAUGUAAAGAGACAUGAUCAGGCCCUCACAGUCUCCAAGGACACGUUCUCGAGGGGUGGAAGGCAGUACGGGACCUGGUGCCACUUCUUCCCAUUACCGUGUCAUGCCAUAUACUGAACAUCUAAUGGAGCAGAAUCACCAGCUUGAGAACGAACUAUGUCUAUUUUUCUCAGCUAUAAGCUCAUCGGAAAGAGUGAGAGGUAUUUUUUUUUUUUCCUUCUCCCAAAGAGGGACCAGGUUCUGUGUUCUGGAUGUCUGGACUUCUGUCUCAGAGGAGCAUUAGAUGCCUUUGUUUUCAAUCAUCUAGGAGACAGGACUCAACCCAGCUAGGGUAAGGAGGGCUCCAUGGGUUGAAGGGGAGGGGAAGAGGGUGGUCGGGGUGGAGCUCUAAGGCUGGUUGGAGGGAAGGAGGGGAGAUCUUGAAAUAGUGAAGACCCAACCCAGUCGGCAGGCACUAUCUGAUGAACGGUGACACUUUGGACCACCAGGGCUGGUCACCUGGAGGACAGAGAAUGAUCAGGUACUGCUGUGCGUGACUCUAACAGCCCAGGCAAGUGACCCCCCACUACUAAGCCUGGCAUGCAAGGAGGGGUGCACAGGGCAUUAACUGCCUGCCAGCACCUGGACCGGUUGGCCUAGACUCAUGCAGCUAGCCAGGCUCACUUCCGAUGGAACUGCAGCCCGGGGCAGAUGGCUGGGGACCAUACCCACACGUCCAGUUGAUCCUGGAACAACACAGGUUUGAAUUGCUCGGGCCCGUUGAUUCGUUAUACCAACUAAACCCCCAACUUUAUUUGGAUGUCUCCAGUUUUUCCACUAAUGCCCUCUUUCUGUUCCAGGAUCCAAUCAAAGGGGCCACAUAGCAUUUAAUCAGCCUCUCCAGUCUCCUCCAGUCUAGGACAGCGUUUCUGUCUUCCCUAGUUUUCCAUGACCUUGACUGUCCUAAGGAGUAGUGGCCAAUUAUCCUGUAGAAUGUCUCCCAAACUGAGUUUGUCAGAUAUUUUUCUCAUGCUUGGACUGGGGUUGUGGGAUCUGGGGAAAAAAAUCCCACAAGGGUGAAGUGCUCUUCUCAUCACAUCCUGUCAUCAGACGGUCCGUGACACCCACAUGGCAUCACUGAUCAUGUCAGCCUUCAUCGCUCAGUGGACGUGAUGUCUGCCAGCUUUCACCCCUGUCAAGUUACGAAUCCCAGUUCCCUAGUCUCUUCUUCUAAAACCACCCAGCCCUUUUUUAUUUGCAAUAGAAAAAUAAAGAAAUAGGAUGCUGCUUGCAACUGAGUGUCACGGAAGCGUUCUUGACUGUUAUAUUUAUAUUUGAGCAAGGGUUUUCUUGAAGCCCUCUGCCUCGACCAAAAGUAGCAACUCUAAUGGUAGGAAUUUCAGGCUCUGUGACAGUUGGGUGUGGGCGUGUGGGCCUGGGUGAUAAAUGCGAGCAGCGUUCUCCAUCCUCCCGCUCAGGCGGGGCCCCGCGCCUCGGCCUAUAUAUAGGACCAGAGCAUAGAGUAGCCUGUUCAUAAAAUCUUGGUACAGAUUUGAACACUCAACACACCCACGCACAUUCAAGGGACUAUCCUACCACUUAUUUGCUAACACGGGGUAGAAGUGCAGAUUCAGAAGGGGUGAUGAUUGUUUACCCAGGACAAAUUAAGCAUCUUUGGUGGAGAGCGUCACUGGAGAGGAAUAUGGCCCCCUUUCUAUUUCCAGUUUGACUUGUUCCCAACGAGACAGUCACUCCAUUUUGAGAGUAAGCCCCUCCCUCCAUCCUUGAAAUUGGAAGCUACGUGGAGAUAGAUAUGAAAAUAAGCAUACAGCCCCCUCCCUCAGUGUUCAUGCUCCCCGCACAGAGAGAUGCUGUUGCAAUUAUUUGAUCUUAAGGCUGCCUAUUUCCGCUCCGGAUAUGACUUCAAGCAUCUCUUCUUUUCUUAAAUGCCUCCGAUGACCCUAAAAGGUAUGGACAGACUUUCAGGUUUAAUGCUUUAGACGGAAAGUAUAUUCCUGGGGUUGGGGUUGGGAUCAGGAGAAAGACUACGGAUCAUUCAGAACCUCCGGGAUGACAAAGUGUUUGUUGGAACCUUGCAGAAGUUGUUUAUUGGGCUUCUGACUCGUACAGAAACAAGGAAUUCAGCAACAGAUUUGGAGCAAUAAAGCAUGGUAAUGUUUGUUCACACUUCGUGCUGUCAGAAUUAAGAUUCAGUUCCAUAAGCCCUCGACUUGGGUCCUUCACAGAAACCAUCUCAUAAUAUCCCUUCACGUGGGCUGUGUUACAGCCGUUCUGCGGGAGGUGAGAGCAAGGCACGGAUUUGAUGGAAGGCUUUUCAAGUGACUGGAGAUUAGGAAGUGGCCUGGGGGGGGGGGGUUCUGAGUUCAGAAAGGCACUCUAGCGUCCGCUCAAGAUCAAGGGUGAAGUGAGCCUCCCACAUCCACCUCAUUUUAAACCUUCUCUUUCAUUCAGUCCUUUUGCUGGAAGUUGGACUGCAGGGCAGAGGAUUAGGACAAGAUUCUGCCUGUGCUCCUAAGAGGCUCACAGUUUGGAGGGGGUGACCACAGGGAAAGGAGGAUGGGAGACAGAAGGAUGAACAGUGGCCAGAGUUACCCAGGUGAUAAGUUGGGGGGGGAGGGGAGAAGGGCAUUCUGGGCAAGGGGAGGGGCAGGGACACCGAAAAGCCCCAGAGGCAGGCUGGGAGAACUCCAGG
Long non-coding RNA from Mustela putorius furo (domestic ferret), 2895 nucleotides. The record is from Ensembl. NCBI's taxonomy places the organism in Eukaryota, Metazoa, Chordata, Mammalia, Carnivora, Mustelidae.